CGGGUGAGUAAUGCUUGGGAAUAUGCCGAGUGGUGGGGGACAACAGUUGGAAACGACUGCUAAUACCGCAUAAUGUCUACGGACCAAAGGGGGGGCUUCUUCGGAACCUCCCGCCAUUUGAUUAGCCCAAGUGAGAUUAGCUAGUAGGUGAGGUAAUGGCUCACCUAGGCGACGAUCUCUAGCUGGUUUGAGAGGAUGAUCAGCCACACUGGGACUGAGACACGGCCCAG
RNAcentral lists this ribosomal RNA (230 nucleotides) under uncultured bacterium. RNAcentral's name for it is "partial 16S ribosomal RNA". It matches the Rfam family "Bacterial small subunit ribosomal RNA", at positions 103 to 334 of the family's 1533-position model. The record is from RNAcentral.